ACUGCUCAGUAACACGUGGAUAACCUGCCCUAAGGUGGAGGAUAACCCCGGGAAACUGGGGAUAAUACUCCAUAGGUUAAAGAUACUGGAAUGUUCUUUAGCCGAAAGUUCCGGCGCCUUAGGAUGGAUCUGCGGCCGAUUAGGUUGUUGUUGGGGUAGUGGCCCAACAAGCCUGUAAUCGGUACGGGUUGUGGGAGCAAGAGCCCGGAGAUGGAAUCUGAGACACGAUUCCAGGCCCUACGGGGCGCAGCAGGCGCGAAAACUUUACAAUGCAGGAAACUGUGAUAAGGGAACCCCGAGUGCCCGUAUAUGCGGGCUGUCCGGAUGUUUAAAACGCAUCCGAAGAAAGGGCCGGGCAAGACCGGUGCCAGCCGCCGCGGUAAUACCGGCGGCUCGAGUGGUGGCCACUUUUAUUGGGCUUAAAGCGUUCGUAGCUUGAAUAAUAGGUCUCUUGGGAAAUCUGCAGGCUUAACCUGCAGGCGUUUAAGAGAAACUGUUGUUCUAGGAACCGGAAGAGGUGAGAGGUACUCCGGGGGUAAGAGUGAAAUCCUGUAAUCCCCGGGGGACCACCGAUGGCGAAGGCAUCUCACCAGGACGGCUUCGACAGUGAGGAACGAAAGCUGGGGGAGCGAACCGGAUUAGAUACCCGGGUAGUCCCAGCCGUAAACGAUGUGCGUUAGGUGUGCCGGUGACCACGAGUCACUGGGGUGCCGAAGGGAAACCGUGAAACGUACCGCCUGGGAAGUACGGUCGCAAGGCUGAAACUUAAAGGAAUUGGCAGGAAAGCAC
Molecule: ribosomal RNA, 789 nt
Filed under: uncultured archaeon
Lineage: Archaea
Description: bacterial SSU rRNA
Rfam family: Archaeal small subunit ribosomal RNA
Source: RNAcentral